UGAAACCAUGGCUUCCCUCCUUGGCAUCAGGAGAGGAAUAUUGAAAAGGAAACCCUUAUCACUGUGGCCUGAAGGUAUAUUAACGCUCCAUCACUGUGACGAAACUAUGCGAGAAGAGGAACGGUUUCUUUGGGAUCAUGGUUUUCUGAGGUUCUUUGCAUGGCCACCUAGCCUGCCUGCUUUUAGGCCUGAAGUGUGGGGUAGGUAGGGUAAAGUAAUGCACUUCCCAGCACCCAGGAAGCUAAAGAGGACCUCAUAUUUUGUUGUAUAAAGCCCAUCUUCCCAAACUCAUUCAGCCAUGAACCCAUAAAUAGAUGAAUUCACCCA
Molecule: long non-coding RNA, 327 nt
Filed under: Mus pahari (shrew mouse)
Lineage: Eukaryota; Metazoa; Chordata; Mammalia; Rodentia; Muridae
Description: lncRNA (MGP_PahariEiJ_G0004488.1)
Source: RNAcentral